AUCGCUUCUCGGCCUUUUGGCUAAGAUCAAGUGUAGUAUCUGUUCUUAUCAGUUUAAUAUCUGAUACGCCCCCGAUUCGGGGCAACGAUAAACGCAUUUUUAGAACAGGGAGCUGAAUAAGGGGCUCGCCCGUUCGCUCCACGCAUCGACCCGGUAUUGCAGCGCCCGGGAACGGUGCCCCUUUG
Molecule: small nuclear RNA, 185 nt
Organism: Oreochromis aureus
Lineage: Eukaryota; Metazoa; Chordata; Actinopteri; Cichliformes; Cichlidae
Gene: U2
Rfam family: U2 spliceosomal RNA
About the family: U2 is a small nuclear RNA (snRNA) component of the spliceosome (involved in pre-mRNA splicing). Complementary binding between U2 snRNA (in an area lying towards the 5' end but 3' to hairpin I) and the branchpoint sequence (BPS) of the intron results the bulging out of an unpaired adenosine, on the BPS, which initiates a nucleophilic attack at the intronic 5' splice site, thus starting the first of two transesterification reactions that mediate splicing.
Source: Ensembl